ACGAACGCUGGCGGCGUGCUUAACACAUGCAAGUCGAACGGAGAGGCCCUGCUUUUGUGGGGUGCUCGAGUGGCGAACGGGUGAGUAACACGUGAGUAACCUGCCCUUGACUUUGGGAUAACUUCAGGAAACUGGGGCUAAUACCGGAUAGGAGCUCCUGCUGCAUGGUGGGGGUUGGAAAGUUUCGGCGGUUGGGGAUGGACUCGCGGCUUAUCAGCUUGUUGGUGGGGUAGUGGCUUACCAAGGCUUUGACGGGUAGCCGGCCUGAGAGGGUGACCGGCCACAUUGGGACUGAGAUACGGCCCAGACUCCUACGGGAGGCAGCAGUGGGGAAUAUUGCACAAUGGGCGGAAGCCUGAUGCAGCAACGCCGCGUGCGGGAUGACGGCCUUCGGGUUGUAAACCGCCUUCGCCUGUGACGAAGCGUGAGUGACGGUAAUGGGUAAAGAAGCACCGGCUAACUACGUG
Molecule: ribosomal RNA, 467 nt
Filed under: uncultured bacterium
Lineage: Bacteria
Description: partial 16S ribosomal RNA
Rfam family: Bacterial small subunit ribosomal RNA
Source: RNAcentral